GACUUAUAUAAGGUCCCUGCCCACUGAAGUUUUUUUAAAGGCCGCGGUAUAUUAACUGUGCAAAGGCAUAAUAAUUUUUUUAAUUGAAGACUUGAAUGAAUGGUUGAACAAAGAAAAAUCUGUCUUUAUUUUCUUUGAAUUUUACAUUUAAGUGAAAAGGCUUUAAGGGACGAUAAGACCCUAAUCUUUACAUUUAUUUAUUUAUUAGUUAAGUUGAUUUAUUAUAUUAAAAUAUGUUAUAUUGGGGUGAUAGAGAUAAAAACUGUCUUAAUAAAAAACAUAAAUAAUUGAAUUAAUAAAAGAUCCUUUAUAAAGAUUAAAAGUUUAAGUUACUUUAGGGAUAACAGCGUAAUUUUUUUUGAGAGUUCAUAUCGAAAAGAAAGUUUGCGACCUCGAUGUUGAAUUAAAAUUUCUUUAUGAUGCAGAAGUCAUAAAAGAGUCUGUUCGACU
This 450-nucleotide ribosomal RNA is filed under the name Munidopsis wardeni. RNAcentral describes it as "partial large subunit ribosomal RNA". The stretch from base 340 to 450 matches the Rfam family "Bacterial large subunit ribosomal RNA", at positions 2473 to 2587 of the family's 2925-position model. Lineage: Eukaryota; Metazoa; Arthropoda; Malacostraca; Decapoda; Munidopsidae. The record is from RNAcentral.